CGUGAAAGAAUGCAAGUCGACGGGAUUACUUCUGUAGCAAUACAGAAGUAAUUUAGUGGCGAACGGGUGCGUAACACGUGGGCAAUCUGCCGAAAAGUGGGGGAUAGCUCGCCGAAAGGCGAAUUAAUACCGCAUGUGGUGAGGGGAGACAUCUCUCUGAAUCCAAAGCCGGGGCAACCUGGCGCUUUUUGAGGAGCCCGCGGCCUAUCAGCUAGUUGGUGAGGUAACAGCUCACCAAGGCUAUGACGGGUAGCUGGUCUGAGAGGACGACCAGUCACACUGGAACUGAGACACGGUCCAGACACCUACGGGUGGCAGCAGUCGAGAAUUUUUCUCAAUGGGGGAAACCCUGAAGGAGCGACGCCGCGUGGAGGAUGAAGGCUUUCGGGUUGUAAACUCCUGUCAUUUGAGAACAAGGUGCACCGGUUAACUGCCGGUGCAUUGAUAGUAUCAGAAGAGGAAGGGACGGCUAACUCUGUGCCAGCAGCCGCGGUAAUACAGAGGUCCCAAGCGUUGUUCGGAUUCAUUGGGCGUAAAGGGUGCGUAGGUGGCGCCGUAAGUCGGGUGUGAAAUUUCGGAGCUUAACUCCGAAACUGCAUUCGAUACUGCGGUGCUUGAGGACUGGAGAGGAGACUGGAAUUCAUGGUGUAGCAGUGAAAUGCGUAGAGAUCAUGAGGAAGACCAGUGGCGAAGGCGGGUCUCUGGUCAGUUCCUGACACUGAGGCACGAAGGCCAGGGGAGCAAACGGGAUUAGAUACCCCGGUAGUCCUGGCAGUAAACGGUGCACGUUUGGUGUGGGAGGAUUCGACCCCUUCCGCGCCGGAGCUAACGCGUUAAACGUGCCGCCUGGGGGAGUACGGUCGCAAGAUUAAAACUCAAAGAAAUUGACGGGGGCCCGCACAAGCGGUGGAGUAUGUGGCUUAAUUCGAUGCAACGCGAAGAACCUUACCAGGGCCUUGAC
This 961-nucleotide ribosomal RNA is filed under the name uncultured bacterium. Its description in RNAcentral is "bacterial SSU rRNA". It matches the Rfam family "Bacterial small subunit ribosomal RNA", at positions 45 to 985 of the family's 1533-position model. The record is from RNAcentral.